Papaver somniferum (opium poppy) is the source of this 160-nucleotide long non-coding RNA. RefSeq lists it as uncharacterized. The transcript is spliced from 3 exons. NCBI's taxonomy places the organism in Eukaryota, Viridiplantae, Streptophyta, Magnoliopsida, Ranunculales, Papaveraceae. The record is from RefSeq and is a predicted model, not a curated record.
AAGGAGGAGAGGAGAGUAUCUAGAGAGUUGUCUUGCCAGAUACAUGAUGAAGCGAAAAAGUUCUCUUAUCAGACUGGUGUUAAAGUCGCUGUUGCAUAUGGUGGAGCACCAAUGCACAAGCAGGGAUGCCAUUCAUGCUAGAGAUUUAGAACACCAGCAG